RNAcentral lists this long non-coding RNA (398 nucleotides) under Homo sapiens (human). RNAcentral describes it as "HSALNT0123600". The record is from RNAcentral. Lineage: Eukaryota; Metazoa; Chordata; Mammalia; Primates; Hominidae.
AUCCUUUCAGGAGAGUUGAAAAGCUUUAAGCUUUUUCCCUGAAGGGAGAUCACAGAGGCUCUCUGCUUGCAUUUGGUAGGGUGCUAGUCAGUUUGGCCCAUAUUCCCAUUGCUGUAACAGAAAUCACUGGAGUCUGUGGCGAGGGAGAGUACUAGAGGGCAGAAAAAUGAGAAAAUCUUUAUAUAGCAGGUCAUUGUUUCUGAAUUCUACAACAGAGGCCAGAAGGAGAGAACAUUUUCUGCACUUUAAGGUCCUUCUGCCUGUGGGUGUGGUGGUGCCAGGUAAAAAGUUUGGCCUGAUGCCUUCAAGGACACAUUCUGAAGAUGAAGGUCUUGCUGUCUGUAACCCUCAUCUGAUCUCCUGCCUUGAGCAAAUAAAAGAGCCCUGGAAUGUGAAGA